Molecule: long non-coding RNA, 4449 nt
Organism: Cavia porcellus (domestic guinea pig)
Lineage: Eukaryota; Metazoa; Chordata; Mammalia; Rodentia; Caviidae
Exons: 7
Source: RefSeq, a predicted model, not a curated record
CUCGCUCCUCCGCGUGCGCUCUGCCGGACCCGAGUGAAUAGUCCUCGCGCGGUGGGGACACGGCGGUGAGUGCUUUCCCCUCGCCUCCAGCCUCCAGGAGGUUCCCGGCGCCUCAGGCAGCUGCAGCUUCGAAGCGGCUGCCACCGCACCUGGGCAGCCUGGACCCUCGUGCCCUGCUCCCGAGGCCUUGCGCGGUGGGCGCCCCGGGACACCCCUGCGGGCCGGGUGGAGGAGGAGAAAGUAGAAUAAGAGGAAGAUGUGGACCAGGAUCCCCAACCUCCCCACAACACCUGGCCUCUCCGCUUCCACUUCUUUCACACAAGGAGAGAGGAGCCAGCAAGAGCCAUGGGGGGCUGCGAAGUCCGAGAAUUUCUUUGGCAAUUUGGAUUCUUUUUGCCUCUGAGGACAGCUUGGCCGGGCUACUGUAGUCAGGUCUCCAACAACCAAGGGUCUCGCUGUGCAGUUCAGGCUGGCCUUGAGCUUACUUUGUAGCCUGGGCUGGUCUCCAACUCACAGCAAUCCUCCUGCCACAGCCUCCUGAGUGCUGGGAUUACAGGCGUGAGCUGCCAUGCCCGGGAUGAAGACAAUUAAUUACAUGGAUGUGCUUCCCCCAUCCCCAAGGUCCAUGGAGUCAAGGAAGCAGCUGAAUCCAGCACUUGUGAUUGGUUCCUGGGCUAGCGCUGGGGUUGGCAGUAAUGUUACUGCACAUUCAGUGAAAAAGGACUGUGUUAAAAAGUGGACUUACCUGCUGAAAGGAAGAUUCCCUGGGGAGACACAUCAUCAGUGACUAAAUUGACCUUCACAUGUAUGGACUGGUCUUCUCUAUGCCUGAUUAAUGGUUGUGUUGCUUGAUACAACUACUGUGCUGGAUGAACUAGGAUGGAAGACGUAUCCAUUAAAUGGGGUGAUGGAUGCGGACACACUGUACUAGGCCUUGAAAGUGGAACUCUUGCAUCUAUAAACUACCCUCAGACCUAUCCCAGCAGUACCGUUUGCAAAUGGGAGAUCCAUGUCAAGAUGGGAGAAUGAAUUCGGGUCAAAUUGGGUGAUGUUAACAUUGAAGAUUCUGAUUCUUGUCAUUUUAAUUACUUGAGAAUUUAUAAUGGAAUUGGACUUGGCAGAACAGAAAUAGGUAGGACAUUUUAUUAGAAGUGUAUUUGUAGUACAUUUUUGCUUUAAGUUUCAAAACUAAAGCAGUUUCAUAUUUAACAUUGAGUAACUGCUGCAUGAGGCAGUAUGUGAGAAAUUAUUGAAAGUGUAGAAAUCUCAAAUUUGAAUCUUUUGUAAAAGGAAGGUUAUCUAUUUACACUUCUAGUACAUUUGUGUUGGUACCUUUGCAUAAGAUGCUACUGUACUACAAAGAAGGAAGAAAUUAUCCUUUGUGUUUUCCAUUGAUCAUUUUGUUUACAGUAGAAAAUACAAGCAUGAUUCAUGCUUAGGAGACUGUGUAAUAAGAAGAUGGGUUUUGGAUCCAAACAGCCUGAGAUAAAGGCUUUACUCUGCCAUGAAUUGAUUGUAUGAUCUUGGGCAAUUCACUUUACUUUUCUAUUUUCUCAUUUAUGAAAUAGAGAAUGAAACUAAUUCAAAUAAAGUCCUAGCAGUUACACCAGACACAUAUAUUUAGUAAAUAGUAGUUAUCAUUGUACUCUUGUUUAAAAAGUCAUUCUCAAUUAUAGCUGCAUACUACAGGUCUUCUGAGACUUAAAAAAAAAAACAUUGUAUAUGUGGUUCCCAUCAUAGACCAGCUAAAUUAGAAUUGAUUGAGUGAAACCAAGAUCUCAGUUUGAUAAAAGUUUUUCAGGAAAAUUUACUUUGCAACCAAAGUUUGGAACCUUUGGUUUAGAGAUCAGUACCAUUCUUAAGGUACUUAAAAAGUAAAAUUUGAAAGAUUUACAAGACAGUUUUGGUGAAGUAAUGUUACAAAUUAAGAACUCUAGAAUUUUCUUUGUUUAGAAACAUUGAUUGGUGCUGGUGUAUAAAAUGUCUUUUAGAACUAUAAUAGGUAUGUAGGAUUCUGUUUUUAAUACACUGCAUUCAUUGUCAGUUCUCCCCAUGUCUAGCCAGAUCUUUGACUUCUCUUACACACCAGAGGAAGGAUUUCUGCUGUGUUUCUCUGGUUGAUGAGUGAUAACCAGUUGUCUCUCAUCAGUUCUUGAUUAACAUGUUAGCUUGAUCACAACCUACAUAGUUCCAUCAAUAUAAGGUAUCUGAUAACUUGUAGAAAUUCAGAUUACAGAGAAUGUAGAAACAAUUUUUACUCUUACUAGUAGAAGACCACUAAAUGUUAAAUGCCUGCUGACAGUGCAGUAGAGGGUGGGCACUAUCACCUGAACAUUCUUGAAACAACAUUGAGAAAAGGUGAGUCCCAGCCUAGUCAAGCCUAUAGUACUUUACAAGUUGUAAAGGAGACAAAGAAAUAUGUUUUACUGAUUUUAUAGUCUAACUUGUACAUACAUAUAGACUAAAUUAAAAAUAAGAAAAGAUUUAUAGAAAAAGUGGCCUCAUUUCUUUCACAUACAGAUAUCAUUUUAAAAAAGAGAGGUGGAGGAGCUAUUGAACAUUGAGGCAUAUCAGCUAGAGUAAUGUGUUGGUCUUGAUUCUUUUAAGACAAAGUCUCAAUGCAGUCCAAGCUGGCCUUGAACUCAAGACAGUCCUCGUGCCUCAGCCUCCCAAGUGCUGGAAUUACUAGCAUUUGUUUGUACCUGGCUCUUGUUUGAUACUUGAUUCAAGUUAAUUUUUAGAAGGAAGUCAUUUUGAAGGUAUCAGUGGUGCUGAAGGUAUAGGUCAGUGAUAGAGUGCUCACCCAGCAUGUGGACAUCCCCAGAUUUGGUCGCUAGCACCUCCCCCCACUCUCUCACACACACAUACACACUCUCCAUCUCACUCUGCAAUUUCAAAGAGGAAUAGACAUCCAGUGACAGUAAAGAAUGAUAAUUGUAGAUGUGAUAAUGUUAUAUUUUUAUUGUAACUUGUUGGAGACACUCUGAAGUUCAGUUAAAAUGUUGAGGGUAUAUUUUUAAAUAUUUCUGGACCACAAAAAGGCAAGCAAAACAGGGCAGCACUGUCGAUGUCGCUCCUGGCCGGCAGGAAGGACACACGACAAAGUCUGGCAGUGGACAACCUUUUCUUUUAUUUUCCUUCUCCGUACAGCCUGCCCUGGGAUCGCUCCCAGCCGAAGCCUCCUUUGGUCCGCUCCCCGCGGCUCCUUCUGGGCUUCUACUUCCGGGCUUCUUCUUCCCCCCCAGGGGUGGCACCAGUAUAUAUACGGAUACAGUGUCCAAUCAUGUUAAAGUAAGCAAGGCAAGCUGAUUGGCUAACAUCAUCAGUUGCCAGGCAGACUAUAUUGUUGAGCGGGUUGCUUACGCGGUAAGCAGGAAACUAACGUGCUCGAUGGGAGGGGUAAUCUACCUCAGGCUUUACUCUUUACUACAGGCCUCACGUCCGCCAAGUGAGGCGCCCGGGUUCGGGGCUGCGGCUCCCAACACAGCACAUUUGGGAAGUUGAAUGCAGGACACACAAGAGUUGUUAUGCUUUUCUCUCAUUGUGUUGUUUUGAAUAUUCUUUUAGUGAAAUGUUUUUAAAAUCAAAAGACAAGGGAAUUGUCUUUGGACAAUAAACAGUGAUUCUUCUGCUAGAGGGAAAUAGUGACAUGGGAACAAUUUGGGCUUCAGAUUUUAAAUUUCUGGGGUGUUCUAAUCAUGGCUUCAGGAGUUUCUUGCUGUGGGUCCUUCCUGCAAGGCAUUGACCCUACCCAGGUUGCAGAGUUGUCUCUAUACCUUAGGAAGGGCAAGUGAAAGAAAAUAUUGCCUUGCCUGGCAUGUUGAAUGAUUCUUAGCUGUUCCUUAGUUGCAUUGAGUUUGUUUUUCCUUUAGUCUCUCUUCAUCUGAAUGAAAACAAAGCUACAGAAAGAUCAAAGGGCUGGUGAUGAUAGUUGCAUCUGAACUUAGUUUGUUACCCGUUCCCAUGGCCCAUAUUCUCCUGGGUCCUCUGUUCUGAUAAUCACCAAUGGUUAUUGAGAGGAAAGCAAGUUUCCUUGCAUACUACAGGGAAGAUCAUUUAAGAAUAGUCCUUGUUGAGCUGGGUAUGGUAAUGCCUUCCUGUAAUAUCAGCAAUUGGGAAGCUGAGGCAGAAGAUUGUUGGAAGUUGGAGACGAGCCUGGGCUACAAAGUGAACUUAGAGGCAGCCAGAAUUGCAUAGCAAUUCUUUUUUUUUUCCAUUUUCUUUUUUGUCUUUUUCAUUUUUAUCGGUACCAGGGAUCGAACUCACGACUGCCUGCUUGCAAGGCAGGCGCUUAUGCCGCUGAGCUAAAUCCCCAGCCCCUGCAUAGCAAUUCUUAAAAAGCAUAUCUUAAAAAGACAAAAGAAAGAGAGAGAGGGAGAGGGAGAGAGAGAGAGAGAGAGAGAGAGAGAGAGAGAGAGAGAGAGAAAGAAAGAAAGAAAGAAAGAAAAA